RNAcentral lists this ribosomal RNA (377 nucleotides) under uncultured eukaryote. RNAcentral describes it as "partial 18S ribosomal RNA". It matches the Rfam family "Eukaryotic small subunit ribosomal RNA", at positions 592 to 976 of the family's 1831-position model. The record is from RNAcentral.
CAAUAGCGUAUAUUUAAGUUGCUGCAGUUAAAAAGCUCGUAGUUGGAUUUCGGGUGGGAAUGGCCGGUCCGCCGUUUCGGUGUGCACUUGCUACGCCCACCUUGCUGCCGGGGACGUGCUCUUGAGUUCACGCUCGGGACACGGAGUCGGCGAGGUUACUUUGAGUAAAUUAGAGUGUUCAAAGCAGGCCUACGCGCUGAAUACAUUAGCAUGGAAUAACACGAUAGGACUCUGGCCUAUCUUGUUGGUCUGUAGGACCGGAGUAAUGAUUAAGAGGGACAGUCGGGGGCAUUCGUAUUUCAUUGUCAGAGGUGAAAUUCUUGGAUUUAUGAAAGACGAACUACUGCGAAAGCAUUUGCCAAGGAUGUUUUCAUUAA